This 373-nucleotide ribosomal RNA is filed under the name uncultured bacterium. RNAcentral's name for it is "bacterial SSU rRNA". It matches the Rfam family "Bacterial small subunit ribosomal RNA", at positions 355 to 744 of the family's 1533-position model. The record is from RNAcentral.
UAGGGAAUAUUGGUUAAUGUGCGAAAGCGCGAACCAGCAACGCAGCGUGUGCGAUGAAGGCCUUCGGGUCGUAAAGCACUUUUUGCAGGGAAGAGGAAGGACGGUACCUGCAGAAUAAGUCUAGGCUAACUACGUGCCAGCAGCCGCGGUAAAACGUAGGAGACGAGCGCUAUCCGGAUUUACUGGGCGUAAAGCGCGUGCAGGCGGAAUGGCAAGUUGGAUGGGAAAGCUCGCGGCUUAACUGGGAGAGGUAGGUCAAUACUGCCAGGCUUGAGAGUAGUAGAGGGAAGCGGAAUUCCGGGUGUAGGGGUGAUGUGCGUAGAUAUCCGGAGGAACACCAGUGGAGAAAGCGUCUUCCUGGCCCAUUUCUGAC